UGUGCACCAGUGGGGUCCCUCAGCCUGGCCUGUGCCCUCUCACAAUCUGGGACCCCUCAGGGGAUGUCAGAGAGCCAGUUUCCACCCCAUCCCAUAGGCCAGGCUGAGGGACCCCACUGGUGCACA
This 126-nucleotide microRNA precursor is filed under the name Myotis lucifugus (little brown bat). Its description in RNAcentral is "mir-9193 microRNA precursor family". The record is from Rfam by way of RNAcentral. Lineage: Eukaryota; Metazoa; Chordata; Mammalia; Chiroptera; Vespertilionidae.